GAACAGAGCUGUUUACAGAGCAACGAUGUCAGAAUGUCAAAGAGGAUAUACUAUCCAGGUUUUUGUUGGAAAGCGACAAGGAUCCAGAGAAAAUGAAUGAUCGUUAUCUGAGAGAUAUUAUUCUGAAUUUUAUGAUUGCUGGUAAAGAUACUAGUGCAAAUACUCUUUCCUGGUUCUUCUAUAUGCUUUGCAAGAACCCUCUAGUCCAGGAAAUAGUUGCACAAGAAGUGAGAAAGGUCACAGGUAGUAGUCAAGAUGAUGAUACUGAAGUUGAAGAUUUCAUGGCAAAAAUAACUGAUACAACACUUGAGCAAAUGCAUUAUCUUCAUGCGACAUUGACAGAGACCCUGAGGCUAUACCCUGCAGUUCCAAUAGAUGGGAGAUGUGCAGAAGUAGACGAUGUUCUUCCUGAUGGGUUUAGGAUGAAAAAGGGAGAUGGAUUGUACUACAUGGCCUAUGCCAUGGGCAGGAUGACUUAUAUUUGGGGAAAGGAUGCUGAGGAUUUUCGGCCAGAAAGAUGGCUCAGCAAUGGGAUUUUCCAACCUGAAUCGCCGUUUAAAUUCGUAGCAUUUCACGCUGGUCCUCGGAUAUGUUUGGGAAAAGAUUUUGCUUACCGACAGAUGAAGAUAGUAUCAAUAGCCCUUCUCCGAUUCUUCCGCUUUAAAUUGGCUGAUGACACCAAAAAAGCAACUUAUAGGACUAUGUUCACACUUCACAUUGAUGGUGGUCUCCAUCUUCGUGCAAUACCGAGGACACGCUUAUAAAUGUUUGAAUAUAUGAAGCAAAUAAUCAUCACAUAAGGUGAACUUUAGCAAAAUGAAAGUCGCACUUAUACUUCUUUAUAUAUACAUGUAUAUAUAUAAAAGAUGAGAAGGGGAUUCGAACUUGGCACUUUGUCUAAAUUGAAAGAUACAUAUAUCACCAUACUUUUUGGGUACUAUUUACUAACAAAAUUGUCUUCUCUUUCUAUACCCAUAUCUUGUCCAACCAAUUAACCAAAUGUUGUCGUGGAAAUUGAAAAGCAGGUAAGUUUGAAUAAGUGAGUAAAUUACUACCCUAUUAUGUUACCGUUUUGCUGCACUUCAGUAGAAUCUUUGCAAAUAGACCAAAGACUAGCAUGGAGUAACAUGGUAUUCGAAAUAAAAUGCACAAAGAGGCACUUGGAGACCUGUUGACAUGCAAAGCAGUGCAACUAAGUUAUUGCCACAGAUAAAUGGUUUAUUUGCUCACAAUAACAGCAGGCUAAAGGAACUGACAUGUAGUCUUAACCCAUCAACAUUCACUACCUUACAACAAUAGGCACAUUGAUAUUGCAGAAGAAACAAUGUCGCUGGACUUUGAAAUAAAUCAACCAGUUUGCCUGUUCUAACUUAAUAUGGAUGACAAUGGAAUUUAUACUCUAUCAAGGACCUAUUUUUCACCAUUUAAUUGACAAAAAAAUUGAAGCACAGCAUACCGCCAAUCACAGUCCUCAAGCAUCACACCCUACAUUAAGAUGUGAUGGUCCUACAAACAUAAAAAGACAUUGACAUAAGAAGCAAUAGGAUCCGACCAAUUACAACAAAUGUGUAGCAGUCACAGUAGGAAGUUGAAGCCCUGGUCUAGAGGUCCAUCCUCUGCGUUUCCUGUAUUCCUCAAUAGCCCGUAACCGAACCCUUUCUUGUGAAGCAUCUGGGGCAUUCUUCAGAACCUGCAGAAAACAGAAACAUCUUAGUCUGAACUACUGUGUUAAUAAUCUAUCAUGUAAAUAUCACGCAACACUUGAGCUACCUUAGGAACAGCAACCAAUUUUGGUGGAGCUUGGACAACAUCUCCAAAUUUUAUCUGUUCACGUCCAGGAAAGUCCAAAUUCUCUUCUGUUUUGGAUUUUUGGCGUUUCUUCUUCUUUGCUUCCAUAUACCUAUAUCAAUUUAAAAUGUAAAUGUGAUCAUCCAGAUGUUCAAAAAGCAUGCCUCAGCUGAGUCUGUGAAAAGGAAGCACUAGAAAGUUUGCAUUCUUUUUGGGUAAUUCAGGCAAGCAAGUGACUAGACAUUCAACUACAUUGGAUCUGAUACAUGAAUCCCCAUAUAACCCAUUCAAACCAGAGCCACAUGCUCCAAUGGACCCCUCAAAAGUGCUCUAAUUCGCUAUUAAAUUCUAUAAGACUUGUGCCCAUAGGUUUACGGUUUCAGCAGAUGGCAAUUGUAGAUACCAAAUGAAAUCAUAAUAAACAACCAAAUAUUACUGCAAAAUUCUGGGCAACUAUUAGAGACAAACAAGAUAUAAAAAUCAGGUCCAGGCAUAGCAUUCACAAAAAGAAGACAUCAUAAAAUACUUAUGAAAAAAUACCAUUGGAAGUUACGAACGAUAAGCUCAAUCUCACUGUAGAAAGAUGACCUUUUCAAACCUCUUGUAGUUGGUAAUUGGCAGAAAAUUGUGAUGUCCCUUUUAUCUUAAGGACAUUAUAAAUACAAAGACAGGGAAAGUAAAUUCUGAUAAAAAAGAGCAAUUCUGAUAAGAAAGAGCUCCACCCAUCUAUGAUAAGAUCCCAUUAAAUGCAAAGGUUCUUAAUUGAUCGAUCUAUAGUGAAGACUUCAAUGCCAAUAAGUGCCACAACAUUUUAAUGCUUCAUACUAGGAAUUAGCAGAGCAACAUCACUAUUAUCUGUGGGGAUUGGGAAAUCCCUGUUUCUAGCUUCUUCUUCAUCCAAUUUUCCAAUCCAGAGGAGACAUUUUAGAUACACAUGGGUUCAAGUGUAGUGGAGAGAUUUUUACUCACUAAUAAUAGAUUCUAUGCAAUUGAUGAAAGGGCAAUCUAUCGCAUAAGAAAUUUACAUCUCAUCUUAGAUGCUUACUUUUUCUUGCGCUCCCGCCUUUUCUCACUGGUUUUUGUCUUCUCCAUUUCAAACCGAAGAUCAUCGACUUGCUUUCUCUCUCUCUUUUUCUUUCUCUUUUCAUCCUUGCUAUCAAGAACAAUCUCAUCACCAUCAUCUGUAGGUUCAGGCGUUAAAAGUUUCCCAUCGUCACCUUCAUCCACGGUAGCUUCUGAGGUAAUUGCAUCCUCUAGAGGGAAUUUCUAGACAUAUCAUACUUGUUAUUCAUCAUCAAAAAGUUCAAUCCAAAUUCUUUCAUUCAGUGAAACGCCUAACGCAGCCUAGAGAGACUCUGAACAGUCUUACAAACAUUAAAGCCUGACUGAAUCUCUCAUUGACGAAGCAAAAUACAAGGAAUUAGCGCUUACAUUUUCUGCAUAACCGCCUCCCCGUUUCCUCUUCUCUUUAGCAGAACCUAAAACAAAAAACAAAUCGGCAUAAAACACAGUUUCUGCGCAUAUAUAAAGAUAAAAGGGACGGAAAGAGGGAGAGAACCAUCAAGAAGAUGAGAAGUGAAGGACAUGAUCUGGCGAAGUUUGGAGGGAAGAGCGUCGACUUGGGAGGGGUUGGGUGGCGGCGGAAGACGGGUGUGGCCUCCAUGCGCCGCCAAGUAGUUCUUCUCUCUCCUUUUUCUUCCUUUCCUUCCCAUCUGCACUCCGUUAGUCUGUUUCUUCUGCUAACCCUACUCUCG
RNAcentral lists this unclassified non-coding RNA (3542 nucleotides) under Hevea brasiliensis (rubber tree). The record is from RNAcentral. Lineage: Eukaryota; Viridiplantae; Streptophyta; Magnoliopsida; Malpighiales; Euphorbiaceae.